Molecule: long non-coding RNA, 1805 nt
Organism: Trachemys scripta elegans
Lineage: Eukaryota; Metazoa; Chordata; Testudines; Emydidae
Exons: 4
Source: RefSeq, a predicted model, not a curated record
AGCGGUCUUGGCUGCAUGCCCUUCCAUCUCUACAUGGCCUCUUUGAUUCCAGCCGGGUUCUUUGAUGGGGAACCUUGGCACAGAGACAUUCAGUGACUUGCCUGGAAUCCCAAAGGAAAUUUUUGAACCGGCAUCUCCUGAGUCCUAGCCCCGUGCAUCACCACAAGACUAUCCUCCCUCCCUUCUCCAGGAAAACACCCUCCAGGGCCGGCUCAGCGCAAUCCCAGCCCAUUCGUUUCCAUCGCUGUCAAACACAAAGUUGGGUCUUGAUUCCCACCGCCCACCACCACUGUUCAGUUGAUUAUCAGCGGAGGGGUCACGCGAGUGACAUCACGUGCCAAGAACCAAAAGACCCCAAAGAGCUUCCCAUCUAAGGAUAGGAUGAGAGACACCCGGUGGACACAGACUGACGGGAGGAGACCAAGAAAACAGGGAGAUCGUUAUGAAGAGCAUGAGACGCAGCCGGUCACAGCACAGCUCCUUGCUGUCCAGGGUUUUAUAGGCAUCCCAGGAGAGGAGAGUGCCCAGGAGCGAUGUGAAGGAAGAUGAGAUGAUGGCUGUCUAUCUAUUGAGCUAUCUAGCUACAUUCUUUCUGCCAUUCUCUCUUUCCCAGGCUUGUUAACGGGAACAGUUUCCUUUUAUUUUAGGCAGGCACAGGGCUGUACUUCUAUUCCUCCCCCCACGCACACUCUUUGUCUAUUAGAUUGUAAGAUCUACCAGGCAGAGGCUACCUCUCGCUAUGCGGAUGUACAGGACAAGGAGGCCCUGGUCUCAGCUGGGAUCUCCAGGGGCUCCUAUCAUAUAAAUAAUAGCGUCCUAGGUACGUACACAUGGAAAAGGAAGCUGAGAGCAGGGGCUUCGCCGUUUUGCAGACAAAGGCAGAACACGAUCCAAUGGCGGGGAGUUGAAGUUAGCUGAAUUCAGCCUUGAAAUGAACAUGCUGUUUCCUAGCACUGAGGGUAAUGAAACAUGGGAACGGCUCACCAGGGGAGGUGGGGGGCAGACGCGCCCCCUACGUGCAGUCUUUAAAAGGAGAUUCGAUCUCUUUCUACAAGGCAAGCUCUCUAGUCCGGCUUCUGGGGGAGACUCUCUGGCCUGGGCUAGACAGGAGGUCAGGCGAGAUGAUCACAAUGAGCCCUUCUGGCUUUAGCGUCUACGAAUCUCUGAAAUCUUACUCCAGCUCCUGGCGCGGGUCCAGUGUGGUUCCGGGCAAGUGGCUCCAUCUCUCUGUGACGCGGUUCCCCAUCUAUACAAGAGGAGGAGGCUACUCGCUUGCUCUGUCUGGGGUGGUUAGAGUCAGGGCGGGGGCACCCAGACUAGCUGGCCUUGCGUACUCCCCGAGGCUGUGUCUGUGCAGCGCCUAGCGCAGCCGGGCCCUGAUCUGCGGCUGCUGCCUCUUGGCCCUGGGGUGACACCAUUUGAAAGCGAUGGCGUGACGCUAGCAAGAGGAGCUUCAGAGCCCUUUGCCUCUUUAUUUCCAGGCUCCAUCCACGCCUGCAAGAGCCCAGUGCCUCUGACCAGUUGUGCUCACAUCUGCAUCCCCAGCCCCUCCUUAGACUUGUCCUGCCGGGCAUGGCGGGGCAAAUAACAAUGAACCGCUGGAAAGCGAUGGCCCAUUGUGCUUAGCCCCCGCGGGUUAAACAGUCCCUGGGCAAGCAGGGCUCCUCAGACAGUGGGGUUUCUCACCAGCCCUGAUUGUCCAUUGACGAGUCAUCUGGGUUUGCUCCUUACCAGCUCAUUAAAAGCUCAUUUUGCCUGGGGAUUAUCCCCACUGUGUGGUGCCUGUGGACGCUGGGGGUUGAUUA